RNAcentral lists this ribosomal RNA (198 nucleotides) under uncultured bacterium. Its description in RNAcentral is "partial 16S ribosomal RNA". It matches the Rfam family "Bacterial small subunit ribosomal RNA", at positions 328 to 539 of the family's 1533-position model. The record is from RNAcentral.
ACGCUCGACACCUACGGGAGGCAGCAGUGGGGAAUAUUGCACAAUGGGGGGAACCCUGAUGCAGCGACGCCGCGUGAGGGAAGAAGGUUUUCGGAUUGUAAACCUCUGUCCUUGGUGACGAUAAUGACGGUAGCCAAGGAGGAAGCCACGGCUAACUACGUGCCAGAAGCCGCGGUAAUCUGAGCGGGCUGGCAAGGC